Molecule: ribosomal RNA, 117 nt
Filed under: Kwoniella mangroviensis CBS 8507
Lineage: Eukaryota; Fungi; Basidiomycota; Tremellomycetes; Tremellales; Cryptococcaceae
Also listed under: 1 other name
Source: RNAcentral
ACGGCCAUAGAAGGUAUAAAACAUCGCAUCCCGUCCGCUCUGCGCAAUUUAAGUUACCUAUCGCUCCCUUGGUAUAAGGUGGGGGACCACUUGGGAAUCCCGGGUGCUGUUGUUUUU